This 3690-nucleotide long non-coding RNA is filed under the name Taeniopygia guttata (zebra finch). Its description in RNAcentral is "lncRNA (ENSTGUG00000023868.1)". Lineage: Eukaryota; Metazoa; Chordata; Aves; Passeriformes; Estrildidae. The record is from RNAcentral.
AUGCAGCUAAAUCAGUGCUCUUCUGCUGGGACCUCUAUUCCUUUGAAGAGGAUUUUCCCUUCAGGAGGUGGUGAUGAGGGGCCACCAACACUAUGGCACUAUCCCAUGGGAGGCGUAAGGGCAGGAGUGGCUCUGGGCAAGGAUUUGGGAAAAGACAGGUCUGAUCUCCACAGCUAUUCCGGGACAGAGGAAGAUGAGGAAGACAUUGCAGAGGAACCCAAGCCACAAAGUAAUAAAGAAGGAAGGAAAGGAGAGGGACCCAACAGGUUAAACAACAAGUUGAGUUCCAUGAAGGGCAGGGGUAGUAAGAACAAGGAUGAGGAAAGUAGGACAAGGGAAAACAGACUGGGAAUGCAGGGACGUGAUACCCUGCAAAGGAUGACAGAGGAAAACAAAUGUGGGCUGGCUUGCUUUUCCCCUUCUGGACACAAUUAGUCCCAAAACAGAAGCUCUGGGGAGGGUGCCAGUGUUUGGAUCAGAGCUGGAAGACUCCCAUUUUAGGAAGAAAAAGCUUUUAAAGCAGGGCACUUUAUCGCCUUCCCAUGGUGAGGCCCAGAAAAGGGACAAGUGUGAUCGCCCCACAUUCAUCUGAGCUUUUGUGGUCUUGCAGUAGAAAACAGGAAGGCCUCCAGUGUGCUGAGAAAGAGGAAGAGGCUCUUUAUCCCUACACCCUUGGGAAGAGGGUACUGGGGACACAGGAGAUGUGGUGUGGGUGUGGAUGUUCAUGGACUCAUAUCAGCAUCCAUUGUAAAUGGAUCCAUUGUAAAUGGAUGCUUCAUGGCAAGCAGGAUUGUCAUGGGAAGUUCUGGGUGAGGCUUGUGAUAGGUGGUGCCACCUGAAAUGUCACAUUGCAGCACAUGUCCCAUGCUCUGCAGGGUAUCCCGAGCAGGGCAGACUGGGAUUGCAGCAUGUGCCCUAACACAAGAAAUAAUCGAUCACUUCACUGUAGUAUUUCAGUGCUUUGUGGUGGGCCCUGUUCAGCUAUUUGAGCUUAAUGGGGAUGCCAGGGAGAAUAUCCACUGCAACCAUAGAAUCAUAGGAUCGUUUGGUUGGAAAGGAUGUAUAAGAUCAUCAAGUCCAACUCUUUCUCCAGCUAUGUUAAGGCCACCACUAUGUCCCUAAGUAUCACAUCUACAUAUCUUUCAAGUAUGUCAUGCGAUGAUGACUCACACACUUCCCAUCUUUCUGAUUCCUUCUUCUUCAAAUGUGUCAAAAAGCCCCCAGACUUCCCUGGCAGAGAUGUGAGUUUCUCUAAGUGUUCUUCUAAGCAGCCAAUGCUGGCAGGAUAUAAAGGUCUUAGUUCAUGAAACUGUCCUUCUUCAUGAUUCUUGUCAAUAGUGUCAGAGAUCAGAUUAAUUUGGGUAUGGAGGUCUGGGUCUGAGUUCUAGCACAAGCGAUUUUGCUUUUCCUUCAUGGCUCUAUGCACAGGACUGAGGUUCUUCUUUCCAGCUGCUAUGCAACAAGAAAGAGCCUUUCAGAUGAAAUGAAGCCGAGUUUACAUGCAGGAGAAAGUCCUUGUUCACCUCACAGCAAUCUCAGGGAAAGCUCAGAGGAGCUUCUGUCAUCCCAAUGAGAAGGUAAUGGAAUAAUAAAAUACUCUGAGUUGGAAGUGACCCACAAGGAUCAUUGAACCCAACUCCUGGCCCUGCACAGGACCAUCCCCAAGAGCCACACACCACAGCCAAGAACUCUGAUCCAAACAUAUCUCCUCCAAGCACAUCACCUAUGAUCUCAGUAGGAAAAGCCAAAGAGCAAGGAUUAGUCUGAACUCCGGUCCCAAAAGAAGCAUUCUUGGGGAUGUCUUGAAGGCCUUGCAGGCGACCCCUUAGCUUCUUUUUGAUCCCUCAGUAGACCUUUAGUAAGACCUUCCUGACAUGACCUUAAAGCAAACAAACAAAUUUCCCUCUAUGGGAUUCAAGUACCCAGGAGCAAAAUAGUGGUGAAGGUUUUGUUUAGAGUAGUUUUACUUCCAUCUCCUCCAAAAGAGGACUCUAAAACACGCCUAGAAGUGCUUGUUUGUCUCUACAGAUGGAGAAAAAUGGAAAUUGCUGCAGAUCAGUUAAACAGAUUCCCCCAAGAGAUGUGCCUAGGGGAAGUCCACAUGGGAGUAGGGCCAUGGCAUGAAAGCCUUGGGCCGGAGCCCAGCUGUUGGCUCAUCUGUCCUUUGAUCCCACAGUCAGCAUCUCUCCAGAGAAGGAUCCUUAUAAAUUCAUUCCUGAAGUUCAUUAGACAGGAGCUUAGGCCAAAGCCCAGUAUCCCACCCCUUGAUGUUUUGGGUAGCUUGGAGACUACCCAAAUCCUGUCUUCCCAGGGAAGGCCUCUUUUGACUGAUUGUAUUUAGAGCUGGAAAUGCCACCCUGCCCACGUUGCUUGGAAAACACGGUGCGCUCAAGACGCCGGUUCAGACGGACUUCUCUGCACAGCUGCCCGUUUGCAGAGCAUGUGGUGGGAAUCUGUUGAUAGGUUCUUGACAGAAAUUAUGGCUUGUUUAUCUGGUAGCUUUACUUUUUGCCUCCUACCCAACCCGGAAACCCUUCCUCUUCUAACCUCUUGGCCUGCUAUUAUACACAGAAUCUUCUACACGAUAAUUUUGGUAACCAUGAUUCAUCUUACGACAAACAUUGCAUAAAGCAAGCAGAUUUGUAUUGUCAUAAUUAAAGCAAAUGAUUGGAUGGUUUAUCCAUACAAUCCUAACAGUUCUGCCACUGCUAGUACUGUACCUGACUUACAGAGGUUUCAGAAAGUCACUGUAGGGUGUAUUAACCCAUGGAAUAUUAAAACAGGCAUGACCCUGCUGUUUCUCAAGGCUGGAAGGACUUGAAAGCCAGCAGGACUUCUUUCCAGUGUGACUGAUUGGCUAGUGGAGGUGAGAAGGUCUCUCCCAGUCAUCCCAGCAUCAACCCACUUAAACUGGAGCCCCUUUUUCAGAAAGCCUGCAGUCCUGCUCUAAUUUCUCUUGGGUUUAGAGAAGAUACAUCUCCUUCUUUGUCUUUGCAGUGUUGCAUUCCAAAGCCACAGAUAUUUGCUCUUUGUCUAACAGACAACUACACCCUGAGAUGCCAGACCUUUCUUCUUCCCCAGCAAAGGUAUUUGUAAACAACUCUCUAUUCCUGCAUUCCAAAAAAAUUAAAUUACUCUGUCUCUUCCUAUGAGGUGUGUUUCCAGGGUCAGUCUUUCUGGUGGUUAUUUGCUGAGCUUCUUUAGAUGUUUCAGCUGCCUUUUCCAGGUCAAGGCAUAAGAGAAAGAUGGGAAUGGGGAACAGAGGGGAGUUAAUCCACCAAUUGAUUUAAAAUAGGUUAAACCCCCUCUUUACACUGGGGCAGAAGAGGGAUGAUGCAAAUGGACUGAGGAACAUAGCUGAUGUUCCAGGACACAGGAGCAAGGUGCUUCCACACCCACCACCCAGAGCUCCAGAUCUGCCAGCAUCAAAGAGCAUCCUUAACAUUUUUUGUUUCCUUUCAGCCACCACGCUAUCCAUCUACACCUGCCCAGCAAAGCCCACAUACUCUGCACUUGGCAGCCACAUGUGGAGCCCUCCCAAGCCCAGACAGAUUGGAGGAGUAGGUGGGAGGGUGUCGUCUGUAUGUCUUCUCUACAGCUGCCAUGCCUAAUACCAACAGCAGCAGCUGCCAGUACAAGGGAUGUGGAUGUGCCAUUUGUAACUUAACUUCCAUGAACAAUAGUGCAGCU